Long non-coding RNA from Bradysia coprophila, 353 nucleotides. NCBI's taxonomy places the organism in Eukaryota, Metazoa, Arthropoda, Insecta, Diptera, Sciaridae. The record is from RefSeq and is a predicted model, not a curated record.
AAAAUAACGACAGUGCUUGGAAAUGCAACAACUAAAAUUCCUAACCGUCAUGACUCUAAUGGUAAUCGUAGUCACGAUUUCAUCAAGUUCUGCAUUAAAACUAUGCCCGGCCGAAAACUGCAUCCCACCAAAUCAUUGUGAAAUACCCUCAAAAUAUGCGGACAUAAUGUGCUCGAAAAAGGGAACUGCAUGUUGCUCGGUGGUGAAAUCUGAAUUCAGAACUCAUUGCAGACAUCACGGAGGCGUUUGUCAGGAAAAAUGCAGUUUUUCUCUUCAGCGCGAAGUAGUCGACUGCCCUUCGCAAGUAUGUUGUGUUUUGAUAUAAAAUGAAAUAAAUUUGCAUAAUCGAAUUU